GAGACGUUAUCGCCACCACCACCACCACCGCUGUCUCAACAUCAGCGUACUUAGUCUUGCCGUUGAAGAGACACUAAGACGGCGGUGGUGGAAGUGGUGGUGAUGGUGGUGAUGUAUUGCUUUAGUCAGUGGUGUAUAGGAGUGGUGAUGAAGUGGUCGUGAUGAAGUGGUGAUGAGGAAAAUUUCAUACCAUUCACUACCAUAGACUUUUAUACUGUGCCCUACCCCACCCCCCACUACCACUUCUACUACUACUACUACUACUACUACUACUACUGCUGUUACUGUGUUUCCCUCACCCGAGUGACUAACCGGACGUGUCAUCGGAGGAGUUAACUAACCUCGCUGGUGGUGGUGGUGGUGGUGGUGGUGGUGUUUGUUGUACAUCCUCCUGCUCCUCCUCCUGCUCCUCCUCCCGCCCACUUCAGUCUGGCUAGUGAAGUGGUGGAGUGGGCUGGCCUGCUGGGGCUUGUCCAAAACAACAAACGAAGGAAAAAAAAACAUUAACUCUCACCAAUUAGAAAAAAACGGAAAAAAUCAAACAGGAACGUAAACAAGAAAAACAAAACAAAAAGAAAAAAAACAACCGAUUAACAGAACCAAAAGACUAUCACAACAACACCGAAAAAAAAAAAAAAGUGUUAUCCGGUGACGUACUGAAGCAGCUAGAAAGAAAUAAGUUGUUACAUUGGUGCUAAAUAGAAAUAAGUUAACUAAAGUGUUGGUGGCGCGGAAAGAAAGUGAAGGUGGACUCGUGCAUAGCCUAGUGAAAAAGGGAGUUGUUGUUAGCGACGGCAGCGGAAAAGAAAGUGAUGGUGGUGGCGGCGGUGAUGGUGGUGAUGGAAGGAAGUGUUUAGCCCUGCAGGGAAGAACAUAAAGGCUGAAAGUUGAGGGUAGUGGAGACGUGAUGGAAGUGAUGUGAGUAUUGUGUGGGGAAAUCAGACAAAAAGGAAAGCGAAGAGACUAGAGUACGAGAAAGAAAGUUGAGGGUAAUUGAGACGUGAUGAAAGUGAUGUGAGUAUUGUACGGGGAAACGGAACAGAAAAUAAAGCGAAUAAAGAAGCUCGAAUACCAGAAAGAAAUAGGAAAAAGAGAGAAACAAAGACUGAGUUAAAGAAAGACGUAGAUAUAUGAAGGAAGUGUCGAGAGGCUUGAUAAAAAGGGAGGAAAACAUUAAACAUCACGGAAGAAAGAAUGGGUUAGGAUAAUAUUGGUAAAGGAUACAAGUGGCUAUUUGCUCAGUCAUAAAAAAACUGAUAAAAAAUGCGUUAAAGAGGUAAACGGAGAAAAGGCAAAGGAAAACGAAAACUAAAGCAAAAAACUAAAUAGAUAAAUAAAAGGAAUUAGACACGUUGAACCCAAAAUAGAUUAUGUUGGAACGAAAGAACAAGAAAAUUAAAACACCAACAAAAAAUGGCUUUCAGUAAUCAUUAGUUUAGUGGAUAAAGAAUAGAAAAAAAAGUAAACGAGGGAACAGUCGUCAUCGGUGCAUAUAUAUAGUGGUGACGAUGAUGACAGCGAUGAUGACGAUGAUGAUGCCUGAGCGUGCCAAAAAGAUGCCACUAGCCCUGUUCGGGAGGGAGAAUGCCACCACCACCACCACCACCACGACAACAACAACAACAACAACAAACACUACCAACAACAACAACAACAACACAAACAACAACAAGAACGCGAGGAAGUGGAAUUUCUGGCCCCCGUUCACCAGGAAGAAAAAGAGGCGUGCCCAGCAUAAAUGUGGUAAGUUGUUGUGUAAUUCAACAACAACCGCCGACAGCAAUGAUAGCUUGGACGGGCCAGAGCCAGACGGUAAGCUUCAUCACCUGCCUACCUGUAAACGCCUGUGAGCGUGACAACAUACUGCGGCGGUGAGGAUGCGAGGCUGUCCGAUCAGUCAGUCUAUCUUACUCAUUUCACUCGUUUUUCAUUGUUUUAUUUGAGAUCAAAGUGUUCAUCCUUGCUCUCUGUCUCUUUCUGCCUUACCUUCAUUUUCAUUCCCAUUUCCUUUCUUCUGUUCUUCUCCCUGUCUCCCUCUCCCUUCAUUUUCAUUCCCCUUCUCCCCCCAUCGCCUUUACAAACUUUCCUCCCAUCUCCCUUCUCCCCCUUUUCCCUAUCUCCUCUCUCGACCUCCUUUUCCUUACCCUCUCUCCUCUCAUCUCCUUGACAAACUUUUCCUCUCUUUUACCCUUCUUCCCCUCCCUCUCUCCCUUCCUCACUUCCUUUCUUUUCCUUCCUCCUCUCCUCUUCAGACUUCUUUUUCCUUCCCUUCUCUUUGACAAUCUUUUCUUCCUUCUACCCUUCUUCCCCACCCUCUCUAUUUCUCUCCCUUCUUGCUCUCUCCCCCUUUCCUCUCCCUCCUCUCUUUCCUCCUCUCUCCUUCACAAACUUUUCCUUUCUUCUACUCUUCUUCCCCAUCCUCUCUCCCUCUCCCUCUCCCCCUCUGUCCCACUUCCCCUCUUUUCUCCCCUCUCCACAAACUCCCCUCUUCUACCCUUCUUCCUCACCCUCCCUUUCUUCCCGUUCCCACCUCCCCUUCCCUUUCUCCCUCUAUAUUCCUCCCUCCUCUCUCCCUCUAAUUCCCCUAACGCCUUCCCCCCUCCUACCCUUAUUCUCCACCUUCCCUCUCCCCUCUCUCCUCUCCCUCCCUUCCCCUUCCUUCUCCCUCUCCUUGUAUCACCCUCUGUGGAUAUUUGGGCUUAACCGGCUCGUACUGAAACAUUUACCGACGGCUGGACACUAAGAGGGGGAGGCGGCGGGCCGUGAAAUAUGUACCCGUGUGUGUGUGUGUGUGUGUGUGUGUGUGUGUGUGUGUGUGUGUGUGUUGCUUGUUGCUGGGUGCCUCCGCGGGUGGUAUUGGUGUGUAUUGCAUGCCUGUGUAUCGGAUUGGAUUGCGAGUGUUUCAAGUGGAGGAGGAUGUGAAACGCGAGAGGCCGGUGGAGAGUUAGAAUAGUAUGGUACGAAGGCUAUUAUUGUAGGUACCAAGUGUGAUAUGAUAGGUACGAGAGUUCUUAUUGAAGGUACGAAGGUUGUUAUUGUAGGUACGAAGGUUGUUAUUGUGGGUACGAAGGUUGUUAUUGUAGGUACGAAGGUUGUUAUUGUAGGUACGAAGGUUGUUAUUGUAGAUACGAAGGUUGUUAUUGAUUGUACGAAGGUUGUUAUUGUUGGUACGAAGGUUGUUAUUGUGGGUACGAAGGUUGUUAUUGUAGGCACGAAGGUUAUUGAAGGUACGAAGGUUAUUAAGGGUACGAAGAUUGUUAUUGAAGGGACGAAGGUAGGCGGAACGUAUACGAUAUUUUAAGGGUGUGAUAGAUAGUUGUGUGGUUACUAGAUUAUAGGUUAUAGAUUAAAGUUGUUAUUGUUAUUUAUUUUUGUUAUUGUUUGUAUUCAUUGUUGUCUUUACUGAGGGCGGGAUAUUAAUUCGAAUGAUCACUAGUUAUAGGCUCGGGGUUAUAGAUGUGGUUGUUAUUUUUUGAAGUGGGAAGCUCGAGGUUAUUGUAACGGCUUAUAGUAAUCGGUGGCAGAGUUUUGUGUGAUAGUAAUAAAUCACUUCAGUUUCUCCUUUUUUGUUAAUGUAAUCGUGUAAUCGUAGUAAGCCACACGUAUUUUUUUUCCUUGUCAGUGUAAGCUUAGUUUUGAUACUAAUAAUUCUAACUAAUAUAUUCCUGGAGGUGACCAUUUGUUUUUGUCAGUGUAAUCGUGUGUAAUCUUAAUAUCGUUACCCUCAUAAAGUAAUCGCCUAAGUCAUUUUUCAGCGAUUUCCAGGUUUUUCUCUACAUCAAUUUUUCAACAAGUGACGCCCAUUUUUGUAUAGUUGCCUUCGUUAUUCAGGGUUUGAGUGUUCUGGAAUUGGCCUUUUCAUUUCUGCCUAAAUCUUAAGCCAAAUGAGAUGACAGUUCUUUUCUGAUUUCCUGUAAAGUAGAAAAUAAUGACUUGGGCGCUUUGUUUACGAAGGUGACGAUAUAUCACUUCAUUUUUUUUGUCAAUGUAAUCGUAAUAAAUCACUCACUUCAUUUUUUAAGGUAAGGGCUCGGUUAAGGGAUAAUGUAUUGGUAUAAUCGACAUCGAAUAGAAGUGAUCUGAUACGAAGAUACGGUUACAUUGACGCAACAUGAAGCGAUCUGUUACGAUUACACUCUGCAAGCACUUACUCAAUCAUGAUCACUUGUUUGUCCGUGUAGUCGUGUAAUGGUAAUCGAGCACUCUCACAAAGGCAUCAGAUCCGUCAGACCCUGCGAAUGGACCUCCGUUGAGCUGCACAGACUUAUUCAUAAAGCAGAUGAGUGUGUGUUUCAGUCGUUAAGUGCACCGCCGAAAGUCACAUGAAAACAGAAUCGGCUAAUGGGUCACCACUUGACUGAAGUUUCCGUAUGACACAGGGAUUGGACGCGGGAGUUACUGAAGCGCCAAUUGUAUUUUAUUUUCUUUCUAACCUUUUCAGUCAUGUAUUAAAAAGUAUGUGGCGACGAGAAUGAGUUCAUAAUUCUAUCCAAGAAGAUUGUAACUUUAUUGCUGAAUAACGACCGAUGAAAAACAGCAUUGAUCUUGGCUUUUGAGAGAAAUAUAAAAUGAAAUAAAUUGGUGGUAGUAGUAGUAGUAGUAGUAAUAGUAUAUAGUAGUAGUAGUAUAUAGUAGUAGUAGUGGUAGUAGUAGUAGUAGUAUUAGUAGUAAUAGUAGUAGUAGUAGUAGUAGUAGUAGUAGUAGUAGUAGUAGUAAUAUUAGUAGCAGUAGUAGUAUAAGUAGAAGAAGAAGAAGAAGAAAGAACAGUAGAAGUAGUAGUAGAAUUAAGAGUCAUAGAAGUAGUAGAAGAAAGGGUUGUAGAAGUAGUAGUAUAAGGGGUUGUAGCAGUGUUAUCUACCCGCACCCAACAAAGAGUGCCCUUAUCACCCCUGUCAGGCAUUAUCAAGGGGGUUCGUUGUCGCCGCCGCGUCUUAUCACCCCCGCCAGCCCGUUUUUUAUGCCUGUGCUUGCCAAGACUGAGCCGCGACUAUUUUGCCGUUCCGUCGGGUUGUUCGUAGCCUGUCUGUUGUGUGUGCCGCCCUUUGCUCCGCGCCGCCCCAGCUCAUUAGUCAUGUUCUCCUCCUCCUCC
Molecule: long non-coding RNA, 5089 nt
Organism: Eriocheir sinensis (Chinese mitten crab)
Lineage: Eukaryota; Metazoa; Arthropoda; Malacostraca; Decapoda; Varunidae
Exons: 5
Source: RefSeq, a predicted model, not a curated record